Molecule: ribosomal RNA, 253 nt
Filed under: uncultured bacterium
Lineage: Bacteria
Description: partial 16S ribosomal RNA
Rfam family: Bacterial small subunit ribosomal RNA
Source: RNAcentral
UACGUAGGGGGCAAGCGUUGUCCGGAUUUAUUGGGCGUAAAGAGCGUGUAGGCGGCCAGGUAGGUCUGCUGUGAAAACUCGAGGCUCAACCUCGAGAUGUCGAUGGAAACCGUCUGGCUAGAGUCCGGAAGAGGAGUGUGGAAUUCCUGGUGUAGCGGUGAAAUGCGCAGAUAUCAGGAAGAACACCUAUGGCGAAGGCAGCACUCUGGGACGGUACUGACGCUGAGACGCGAAAGCGUGGGGAGCGAACAGG